ACUACAUGAAGCUGGAAUCGCUAGUAAUCGCGAAUCAGAAUGUCGCGGUGAAUACGUUCCCGGGUCUUGUACACACCGCCCGUCACACCAUGGGAGUCGGAAAUGCCCGAAGUCAGUGACCCAACCGUAAGGAGGGAGCCGCCGAAGGUGGAGCCGGUAACUGGGGUGAAGUCGUAACAAGGUAUC
RNAcentral lists this ribosomal RNA (186 nucleotides) under uncultured bacterium. RNAcentral describes it as "partial 16S ribosomal RNA". It matches the Rfam family "Bacterial small subunit ribosomal RNA", at positions 1315 to 1500 of the family's 1533-position model. The record is from RNAcentral.